GGCAGUGUAGCAUAGUGGUUAAGGAGCAGGACUCAUGAUCAAAAGGUUGCCGGUUCGAUUUCCUACUGCUGUUG
Molecule: transfer RNA, 74 nt
Filed under: Megalops atlanticus (tarpon)
Lineage: Eukaryota; Metazoa; Chordata; Actinopteri; Elopiformes; Megalopidae
Description: tRNA-OTHER
Source: RNAcentral